This 478-nucleotide ribosomal RNA is filed under the name uncultured bacterium. Its description in RNAcentral is "partial 16S ribosomal RNA". It matches the Rfam family "Bacterial small subunit ribosomal RNA", at positions 28 to 507 of the family's 1533-position model. The record is from RNAcentral.
GAUGAACGCUGGCGGCGUGCUUAACACAUGCAAGUCGAACGGGAAAUGUAGACGUAAACCUUCUGGCGGAGGCCCGCAUUUCGAGUGGCGACCUGGGGAGUAACGCCUGGGUAACCUGCCUCAUUCAGGGGGCUAAGAGUUGGACACGACAGGUGAUACCGCAUAAGACCACAGCAUCGCAAGAUGCGGGGGUUAGAAGUCCGGUGGUAUGAGAUGGACCCGCUUUCGAUUAACCGGCUGGCGGGGUAACGGCCAAGCAGAGCGACGGUCGAUAGCCGAUCUGAGAGGCUGACCGGCCACAUUGGGAAUGAGACACGGCCCAAACUCCUACGGGAGGGAGCAGUGGGGAAUAUUGCACAAUGGGGGAAACCGUGAUGAAGCGACGCCGCGUGAGUGAAGAAGUACUUCGGUAUGUAAAGCUCUAUCAGCAGGGAAGAAAAUGACGGUACCUGAUAAAGAAGCCCCGGCUAACUACGUG